UGACACAGUGUCCAGCCACAUCUCUUGAUGA
Molecule: non-coding RNA, 31 nt
Filed under: Homo sapiens (human)
Lineage: Eukaryota; Metazoa; Chordata; Mammalia; Primates; Hominidae
Source: RNAcentral